UGUUUGCCCCUUCCGUGAUUUAUGCGUAGCAUGUAGACUAUCAGCGACAAUUUGAGCCUCUUUGUGAAGUAGUUUUGUAGGGUAUUGCUUCAAGUCAAGAAAAUAGCUUCCAAAGAUAGUUUAACCGAAGAGCUUCUGAUCUCUACAUGUGAAUGGUAAACUGCCAAUUUUGUACUUUACUAUUCUAUAUCAAGAAAAUAAAUAAUUGCAUCAUGGUAUUAGUGGCUUAAUUAUUUUUAUGUGCAUUGAACUAUAUAUUUUGAAGCACUUAAUAGUAUCUUUCAUGGAGGAUCUAGGACUCCUGCCAAUUUAUUGUACGGAGUUGUUCUUUGCUAAAAAAAACUUUGCUCAAUUGCGCUUUGCCUCUCAGUGUUAUCAUUAGUUAAUGGCCUAAACUGUUGACAACUUAUCAAAAAAGAAUAAUCAUAUGCAGAUGCAGAAGCAUAUUAGUCAUGCAGAAAUAAUCAUAUGCUGAAGGAAGGACUUGGAACUGUAACUAAAAACAAAAUGGUAAGUGGAGGGGCUCUGAUAUUGCAAUAAAAAGAAAUGAUAGAUAUUUCACUGGGAAGCGAACUCAGGAAGACCGCUCUAUUCCCCUCUCCUCCCGAUGCGGCGCUGCCCCCAUCUCUUGCUCCUCCGCCGCCGCCGCCCCUGCCUCCCUCCCGCUCAGCCACCUCCACCGCUCCCACCCUUCUCCCCAUUGUCGGAUCCGCUUGCAUAUCGCCAAGGUUAGGCGGCGAAGCUCCACGUCCGCGACGCGCACAUGCUCGUCAUGGAAGCGGCUCCCAGAUCUGAGGUCGCGCGGCCGUGACGGAAGGGGCUCGAGCUGGCCGCCGAAGACCAAGCCCCCACCAUGUGGCGUCGAGAACGGCCGACGGCAUGGUAGGAUGGAGGAGAACGGCCUGGAGUUCGUGCUCGAUCUGGUGGUCAGGUUCCCACUUCGGCAAGAGUUCGCCGAUAACCUUAAGCACUCCGAUCCGGUGCCGCUAAGGCUGCCACCCAGGGGGAGGCUGGCGCUCUUGGCACGGAGGAUUCAAUUGGUGAAUCUGGCUGCGCCCUGAGGUUAAUCGGGAGGCACCGGGAUGGACGGAAAGGUUAAGAUUAGAGAAUGCACCACCGGACAGAACUCUGUGCGCUUCAUGGAUGAGCACACUGGAGCAAUCAAUAAGGAAGUUUGCCGAGGAACCGACGAAUAGUGUGAUUAAACCAGAACUAGGAACAAGUUUCGAUUUGUUGGGCGAGGCAUACGACUUCUACAACCUGUAUUCAUGGGAAGUUGGAUUCGGUAUUAGAUAUUGGGAAAGCCGACUAAAUGCAGAAGAUAGAGUGCAGUUGUUCACUAAGUUCUGUGGGAAAGACUAAGGCUGAGAAUAGCCGAUCAUGCAUGUACGAGUGUCCCGCGCUGAUCAGGUUGCUACAUGCAGCUAAUAAAUAGUUGGUUCAUAACUGAGCACAUAAAGAAUCACAACCAUUUGAUGUUCGUUACACUCGGGGAGAAGGUUCAUUGGCACAUAGACUUCUGUGUUAACAGGGCGACAACGUCAAGGAUGGCAUCUGCGAGAACUCUUUUGUGUUAGAUAAAUUGAUGAUUAUGUCUGGAUCUCCGGGGGCAGACACUAUCAUACUGAAGCUCAGCCGGACCACGACUGUCAACGGGGUCACCGUAUUCUUUGAGGAACAGAAACAAUCCAGCUAUCAUAAGGAUGAGGACGGAGCACAACUCUCUCAAUUCCCAAAAUGAGGUGGACAACACUUAGCUUACAUGUUCUUUGAGGACGGAGGAAGUUUCGCCUUAAACACAACUUUUAUCUGCUCUGAAAGAGUUACAUAUUUUGAAGUUUUUGCAACUCAGCCUGAAAGAGUUGGGUAACCAAACUCAAAAUGAGGAUCCAAAUGAGCUUGGUUACGUACUAAAUUAUUGUUGAGGAUCUUAGGUAAUCAUUGCAGUUGAAGAUUACGCCCCUUAUCAUCAUUCUCAUUUUCAAACUUGCCAUUUAUCAGAGGUUUUGGAUGGGGUGCAUUCAUGCAUUGUAUUGGAGCAAGGACCUGCCGAGGAGGGGGAUACCAUGGGGAGGCGAACCUGGUAAAAUAGGGGUGGAAAGUAUGCUAUAGGAAAGACUGUGGGGUUUGUGUAUCCUUAUCCAGGACAUUGUGAAGGCUUCUGAUGCAGUUUACAAGAAGCAAUUGGUGAGCUAAUUCAGAGGUUAGGCAACACUUGUCAUGAUUUUUUAUUUCUGAAGCCACAUUAGCAAGCAUCAUCAAUAUAACUAAAUGUUUGCUGGCUUCCGUAAUUGCCUACAUCAAUGUAAUCUUCCACACUGAAAACACUCAUUUGAGAUUUGCAAGAAGCCUGCAUACUACUUACUGUUGAUGCAUUAACAUUGCAUCCUUCAGAAUUAGCAAGCAGGGCAUAAUGUUAGGUGUCUGUUUGUGGAAUUGCUGAAAAUAAUUGGUCUAUUUAAUCCAUGAGAAAUAGGAAGAUUCUCUAAGCUACAUGAGUUACUCUUUAGCGACAUUUCGUAUCGGCAGUGUGCUACUUGCUAUACUAGCUAAGCUUAAUUUUCUUCUUCUUGUGAACAUGUAGAUAAGUGAAAUGAUAAUAAGAAGGUUAAAUAAUGUUGUUCAAUCUUUCCGUCAAGCAACCUGUUUGGCCCCAAAUGCCUAGACCAUGAUACUACAUGAUACUAAUCAGUAUCAUCCUGAAACCUGAAUCUCACAGAUUCCUUCAUUGAUAGACAAUUAGGGUUAAUUCCACACUGAUUGACGUCCCAGCAUAGGCGAUAGUCCCCCCGUGUCGCCUCCCCGAGCGAGGCGACCGGGGGUUCCUUUCCCCGCCCCCCAGCGUCUUCCCUACCCUAACCCUACUUCCACCGCCGCCGACCUGCGCCACCAGCCCGUGUGGUGUCGGCGGUGGCGGCGGCCUCGUCCUUCCCCGCGCGCGGUGCCCUGGCUCGGGUGGGGGUGUCCCGCGGUGGUGCUCCAGCUCCGGCGGCACGGCUCCGGGUGGCCCGGGGGCGGCGGCGCGGGCACUUGGCGACAACCUGGCGCGGUGGAUGGUGGCGGCGCCCUCCCGGACCAGAUCUAGGCCCUUUUGGGCCCCAUUUGGGUCUGGGCCGCCCUGGCUUGAUCUCGCCUGCGGCGGCUCCGGCGGGGGUCGAGGAGGUGCGGCUUCUGCGGGGGGUUUUGGAGACGGCGGCGUGCCUACAGCAGCGCGGAGACGGGCAUUUCAUGAGCCGCUUUUGGGCUCGGCCGGGCCUCGAGGGCCCGGUGUGCUCCUCUCGCCGCGUCCAGUCAGUGACUGCCGAUGGCGGUGGAGGUUGUCUCCUCUUGCAUGGCUGCUGUCGCUGCCGCUCCCCAUUCCCGGCUGCUCCCCCUCGGCCUCGUCGGUCUCGCUUCGUUGACCAUGGUGAGGCGGCGGUGAUGUUGGCAAGACCGUGGUGGCGCAUGUUGGUGGACGGCAUCAGUGGUGGAGCGCAUCGGACCAUUCAGGGAUGUGGGUGUUUGGUGGACGGGAGAAAUCCCUGCCGGCUUGUCGGCACCGACGCGGUGAUGCCCGUGGGCGCCACCGUUCCUUCCUAAAGGGCAUCGGGUAUUCCCCUUCCCCACUCCCGUCCGCGUAUCGGGGAAAACCCUAGGACUUGUCCGGGCAGUAGCGUCAUUGUUGUCGUGUUCCUUCUUGAAGGUGUUGCUUGGUAAGCGGAGGUUCAAGGUGCUAGGAGCGAGGUGGUAAAUCCCUGGUGGGCAUAGCGGUUGCGGGUCAUCAUCAUUUUCGUCGAUCCGAUGCUGUCGACAUUAUUUUCUCUCUUCUUUCUCUUUUGUUUCUUUUGGGCGUGCUUGUGCUGUUUGCCCCAGCAUUGGACUCUUGGUUGUAUCGGGUUGUUGCUAUAUCUAUAUAGCGGGGCGAAAGCCUAUUUCGUAAGAUUCUUUCAUGAAUUCAAGACUUGGCAAACCACUCCCAUUACAAGGUUCCAUAACACAUGCUGGAUUUGUAUGUCAAGAUAUCUGAAGGGCAAAAGCUUAGUACAUUUAUUCUGUUUUUUUAAUAAAUCUCCCUCUUGGAAUGAGCUACAACUACUAACGAGUUAUUCUUCUCAUAUCUGUAAGAACACAUUUCUAUAUAUGGCUUCUAUUAAGGCGACUUGAUUGAGUACCGGCGAAUUACCUUCAAAAUGAUUAAAGGAAUGCGGAGAUGGGCCUUCUUGAGUUUUGACCAUGCCUAAUAAUACUUCUGAAUUAUGGCUACUCUCCAUGCAGUUUGGUCCGGUUAUUUCACCAACUACUAUGUGCUGGAAGUUAUAUUGUUACUUAAUAGAGGCUACCCAUUCUAAACUUCUUUUUGACUGUGUUGUCAGAUUAGUACAUCCAAUGGAACCUGACAUUAAUAAUAAAUUCCCUACAAUGACAGUGUGCUUUAUAUGAAAAGGGUUGAAUAUAAUUACCAAAGUUUGAUGGACGUCACGUGGCAUGCCAGUCAUGCAUAUGGAGAGCACAAAUGCAAAUGUUCGUAUUGUAUUGACGAUGCUCCCUUUUGAAAUUAACAUGCUUUGCCAAUUAUUUUGGACAUUAUGUAUUAGCUUAUUAUUUGUCAGCCUAUAGGUUUUAUAUGAGUGAAAACUAAAUAUCACAGUUCUAAGACUGUUCUUGCCAACCCCUCCAUAUCAACUAGGUAUGCAAUGCAUUAUACUCCCUCCGUUCCUAAAUAUUUGUCUUUUUAGAGAUUUCAACAAGUGAGUACAUACGGAGCAAAAUAAGUGAAACUACACUCUAAAAUAUAUGUAUAUACAUCCGUAUGUGGUAGUCCAUUUGAAAUCUCUAAAAAGACAAAUAUUUAGGAACGGAGGGAGUAUAAGAUAUUUUUUUUGUUUUUCCUUGUCUGCAUUUUUAAUUAUGGUUAUUACUCUUUGGAAUAAUCAACAGUUUAAUCUGUACUAUUAAAGGAGAGCAUGUAGGUCGUUUUGUUUCGGGGAGGGUGAGGCGCAGCCUCGUGAAUGAGUGGAGAAGACAGUGUGCUCUGGUCCUCCUCCAAGCCCGCCGGCGACUUGUCGAUUUAUUGCUCUUCCCUUACAAGAUCCCAUCGAAGGUCUCUUCCGCUGCCUGGCCUCAAGAGCAGAUUGUUCCACAGGACUGGCAACUGAGGGACAUUAUUUUGGUGACAAAUCAUUAGAUAUGAUGAUCUGAAAGCAUGGUCAUUCUCCUUUUUGAAGAAAAGAAAUGGUACUCUGAAUGCCGAGCAACAUUAGAGCAACGGACUUCAAACCAUUGAAACCAAAGACGACAUGGAAAUAAAUACCAAGACUAAUCCGUGAGCACAGGCGGGCCAACCACAAUUGAAGGUUAUUAAGCUUUUAUUCCACGGAAAAGCUCGGGAAGGUAGGAAGCUCCUACAGUUCACACAGUAGGGCAAUAGCACUGUAUCCUGUUAAAGGAGGAGAACAGGGCGAAAAAACACAUGGAGAGUGCAUAUGCGUUUUGCUUGUGUCAGAUAAUGUACCACUAGGUUAUGGCAUUAUUGCCAUCAAUUAACUUUGCUGAACUUUCACCUGUAACUUUUUCAGUUAUUUUUUAUGUGAGUGAAUUUAUCUCCCAGAACGGUUGUGAGCAUGAACACUUGUGGGUUAUAUGAUGUAUGUGUUGUUAUUA
This is a long non-coding RNA of Triticum aestivum (bread wheat), 5640 nucleotides long. RefSeq lists it as uncharacterized. The record is from RefSeq and is a predicted model, not a curated record. Lineage: Eukaryota; Viridiplantae; Streptophyta; Magnoliopsida; Poales; Poaceae. The transcript has 11 exons.